RNAcentral lists this ribosomal RNA (450 nucleotides) under uncultured bacterium. Its description in RNAcentral is "partial 16S ribosomal RNA". It matches the Rfam family "Bacterial small subunit ribosomal RNA", at positions 354 to 796 of the family's 1533-position model. The record is from RNAcentral.
GUGGGGAAUCUUCCACAAUGGACGAAAGUCUGAUGGAGCAACGCCGCGUGAGUGAAGAAGGGUUUCGGCUCGUAAAGCUCUGUUGUCGGGGACGAAUGUGCAGUAUUUGAAUAAAGUACUGCAAUGACGGUACCUGACGAGGAAGCCACGGCUAACUACGUGCCAGCAGCCGCGGUAAUACGUAGGUGGCAAGCGUUGUCCGGAAUUAUUGGGCGUAAAGGGAGCGCAGGCGGGAAGGUAAGUCGGUCUUAAAAGUGCGGGGCUCAACCCCGUGAUGGGAUCGAAACUAUCUUUCUUGAGUGCAGGAGAGGAAAGUGGAAUUCCUAGUGUAGCGGUGAAAUGCGUAGAUAUUAGGAGGAACACCAGUGGCGAAGGCGACUUUCUGGACUGUAACUGACGCUGAGGCUCGAAAGCCAGGGGAGCGAACGGGAUUAGAAACCCUAGUAGUCC